RNAcentral lists this long non-coding RNA (213 nucleotides) under Medicago truncatula (barrel medic). RNAcentral's name for it is "long non-coding RNA (MTRU_LNC004614)". The record is from RNAcentral. Lineage: Eukaryota; Viridiplantae; Streptophyta; Magnoliopsida; Fabales; Fabaceae.
UCAACUACUAAAUCAUAUAUUACAAAGGUUCAUCAUGGCUCAAUCAUACCAAGAGUUUAGCUACUCAUGGUUUUACGAUUAUAAACAUAAAUAAGAGUGAACAUACAUAAAUUCGGACCAACUAUGAGUUGGUAUGAGAUUUAGGGCUUGUUCUUCGGUCUCCUGGUGUCUUCUAUGCUCAAAAUCGCACUUCACAAUCGAUAUCCCAUUCUU